GACGUAGGGUGCGAGCGUUGUUCGGAUUUACUGGGCGUAAAGGGCGCGUAGGCGGUCAGCACAAGUCAGUUGUGAAAUCUCCGGGCUUAACUCGGAAAGGUCAACUGAUACUGUGCGACUAGAGUGCAGAAGGGGCAACUGGAAUUCUCGGUGUAGCGGUGAAAUGCGUAGAUAUCGAGAGGAACACCUGCGGCGAAGGCGGGUUGCUGGGCUGACACUGACGCUGAUGCGCGAAAGCCAGGGGAGCGAACGGG
Molecule: ribosomal RNA, 254 nt
Filed under: uncultured bacterium
Lineage: Bacteria
Description: partial 16S ribosomal RNA
Rfam family: Bacterial small subunit ribosomal RNA
Source: RNAcentral